RNAcentral lists this ribosomal RNA (497 nucleotides) under uncultured bacterium. RNAcentral's name for it is "partial 16S ribosomal RNA". It matches the Rfam family "Bacterial small subunit ribosomal RNA", at positions 28 to 507 of the family's 1533-position model. The record is from RNAcentral.
GAUGAACGCUGGCGGCGUGCCUAAUACAUGCAAGUCGAGCGACCGGACGGGAAGCUUUCUUCUCUGAUGUUAGCGGCUGACGGGUGAGUAACACGUGGAUAACCUACCUAUAAUACUGGGAUAACUUCGGGAAACCGUAGCUAAUACCGGAUAAUAUUUUGAACCGCAUGGUUCAAAAGUGAAAGACGGUCUUGCUGUCACUUAUAGAUGUAUCCGCGUUGCAUUAGCUAGUUGGUAAGGUAACGGCUUACCAAGGCAACGAUGCAUAGCCGACCUGAGAGGGUGAUCGGCCACACUGGAACUGAGACACGGUCCAGACUCCUACGGGAGGCAGCAGUAGGGAAUCUUCCGCAAUGGGCGAAAGCCUGACGGAGCAACGCCGCGUGAGUGAUGAAGGUCUUCGGAUCGUAAAACUCUGUUAUUAGGGAAGAAAAUAUGUGUAAGUAACUGUGCACAUCUUGACGGUACCUAAUCAGAAAGCCACGGCUAACUACGUG